This 460-nucleotide ribosomal RNA is filed under the name uncultured bacterium. RNAcentral's name for it is "partial 16S ribosomal RNA". It matches the Rfam family "Bacterial small subunit ribosomal RNA", at positions 338 to 795 of the family's 1533-position model. The record is from RNAcentral.
CCUACGUGAGGCUGCAGUGAGGAAUAUUGGUCAAUGGGCGGAAGCCUGAACCAGCCAAGUCGCGUGAGGGAUUAAGGCCCUGCGGGUCGUAAACCUCUUUUGCCGAGGAGCAGAGGUCCGGACGUGUCCGGGCCGGGAGAGUACCCGGAGAACAAGCAUCGGCUAACUCCGUGCCAGCAGCCGCGGUAAUACGGAGGAUGCGAGCGUUAUCCGGAUUUAUUGGGUUUAAAGGGUGCGUAGGCGGGCAUUUAAGCCGGCGGUCAAAUGUCGGGGCUCAACCCCGGCCUGCCGUCGGAACUGGUUGCCGUGAGUGGGCGAGAAGUAUGCGGAAUGCGUGGUGUAGCGGUGAAAUGCAUAGAUAUCACGCAGAACCCCGAUUGCGAAGGCAGCAUACCGGCGCCCUACUGACGCUGAGGCACGAAAGUGCGGGUAUCGAACAGGAUUAGAUACCCUAGUAGUC